Molecule: ribosomal RNA, 465 nt
Filed under: Vreelandella stevensii
Lineage: Bacteria; Pseudomonadati; Pseudomonadota; Gammaproteobacteria; Oceanospirillales; Halomonadaceae
Description: partial 16S ribosomal RNA
Rfam family: Bacterial small subunit ribosomal RNA
Source: RNAcentral
CCUACGAGAGGCUGCAGUGGGGAAUAUUGGACAAUGGGGGGAACCCUGAUCCAGCCAUGCCGCGUGUGUGAAGAAGGCCCUCGGGUUGUAAAGCACUUUCAGUGAGGAAGAACGCCUGGUGGUUAAUACCCAUCAGGAAAGACAUCACUCACAGAAGAAGCACCGGCUAACUCCGUGCCAGCAGCCGCGGUAAUACGGAGGGUGCGAGCGUUAAUCGGAAUUACUGGGCGUAAAGCGCGCGUAGGUGGCUUGAUAAGCCGGUUGUGAAAGCCCCGGGCUCAACCUGGGAACGGCAUCCGGAACUGUCAAGCUAGAGUGCAGGAGAGGAAGGUAGAAUUCCCGGUGUAGCGGUGAAAUGCGUAGAGAUCGGGAGGAAUACCAGUGGCGAAGGCGGCCUUCUGGACUGACACUGACACUGAGGUGCGAAAGCGUGGGUAGCAAACAGGAUUAGAUACCCCUGUAGUC